UCAUGUCCGUGUUACAAUAUUGUUCUCGACGCCGAGCAAAAUCAGCACUGCUGGUCUGUUGCCAAAUAUUUCCAUUUUUCUUCCGCGUAUCUCUCUAUAUAGGAUCACUAGUUUUUGCUUAAUU
Long non-coding RNA from Aedes aegypti (yellow fever mosquito), 124 nucleotides. RefSeq lists it as uncharacterized. The record is from RefSeq and is a predicted model, not a curated record. Lineage: Eukaryota; Metazoa; Arthropoda; Insecta; Diptera; Culicidae. The transcript is spliced from 3 exons.